CUAGCAUGCUCCCUGCACAAGGAUGACACACGUAUUCAUGAAGCGUUCUGUAUUUUU
This is a small nuclear RNA of Procavia capensis (Cape rock hyrax), 57 nucleotides long. Lineage: Eukaryota; Metazoa; Chordata; Mammalia; Hyracoidea; Procaviidae. The record is from Ensembl.